Molecule: non-coding RNA, 650 nt
Organism: Cricetulus griseus (Chinese hamster)
Lineage: Eukaryota; Metazoa; Chordata; Mammalia; Rodentia; Cricetidae
Source: RefSeq, a predicted model, not a curated record
AAGCCAGGGCCCGGAGUGAUGCAACCCACAAGCGUGGAAGGGGCUGGCGGAUGGGCUGUCUCGGGGCUGAUCUGAUGUCAGAGCAGAUCAUGUGGUGCUCUGUGGGCAGCAGGGACUGGCCCGCGGGAAGCACAUGGAUUACAGUCUGAGGCUGUGAUGGGAAAGUCGGAUCCUGGGCUGUUGUCUCACACACAUCAGCAGGCGGGGAAGCUGGGGACUCCGACUCGCCCUGCCCGGGCCCUCCUGCUGCGUGGUCACAGGCAAUCGCUGAGAGAAGCUGCUGCUCCAGUUGAUGGCUAAAACACCUGUACCAAUAUAUAAACCAACAAGGAAUCUGCUUCAACCCAAUUUAUAAAUAACAGUUUUACAUGGCACAGGAGCUUUAGAAAUGAAGACCCAGAGAAACAGUGUCACCCGUGUCCCUGAGCUCAAAUAGUUCCUUGUCUACUUGCCCUUGGCUUUUCUAGGCUUCUGGAGAGAAGGGCCAAAUGUUGUCCUCUUCCCAGAGUACCUGGGCCAAGAUGUUGGUUGUUUACAAAAUCGGCAACAGUGAGAGUCCAGCUGGAGAUGUGUGAGCUGAAAAUCCAGUUCAGGAGUCCUUACCAUUUGAAGAGAAUACAGAAAAUAAAACUUAAGUGAUUUGAACCAUA